This 1047-nucleotide ribosomal RNA is filed under the name Bacillus safensis. Its description in RNAcentral is "bacterial SSU rRNA". It matches the Rfam family "Bacterial small subunit ribosomal RNA", at positions 390 to 1430 of the family's 1533-position model. The record is from RNAcentral. Lineage: Bacteria; Bacillati; Bacillota; Bacilli; Caryophanales; Bacillaceae.
AGCAACGCCGCGUGAGUGAUGAAGGUUUUCGGAUCGUAAAGCUCUGUUGUUAGGGAAGAACAAGUGCGAGAGUAACUGCUCGCACCUUGACGGUACCUAACCAGAAAGCCACGGCUAACUACGUGCCAGCAGCCGCGGUAAUACGUAGGUGGCAAGCGUUGUCCGGAAUUAUUGGGCGUAAAGGGCUCGCAGGCGGUUUCUUAAGUCUGAUGUGAAAGCCCCCGGCUCAACCGGGGAGGGUCAUUGGAAACUGGGAAACUUGAGUGCAGAAGAGGAGAGUGGAAUUCCACGUGUAGCGGUGAAAUGCGUAGAGAUGUGGAGGAACACCAGUGGCGAAGGCGACUCUCUGGUCUGUAACUGACGCUGAGGAGCGAAAGCGUGGGGAGCGAACAGGAUUAGAUACCCUGGUAGUCCACGCCGUAAACGAUGAGUGCUAAGUGUUAGGGGGUUUCCGCCCCUUAGUGCUGCAGCUAACGCAUUAAGCACUCCGCCUGGGGAGUACGGUCGCAAGACUGAAACUCAAAGGAAUUGACGGGGGCCCGCACAAGCGGUGGAGCAUGUGGUUUAAUUCGAAGCAACGCGAAGAACCUUACCAGGUCUUGACAUCCUCUGACAACCCUAGAGAUAGGGCUUUCCCUUCGGGGACAGAGUGACAGGUGGUGCAUGGUUGUCGUCAGCUCGUGUCGUGAGAUGUUGGGUUAAGUCCCGCAACGAGCGCAACCCUUGAUCUUAGUUGCCAGCAUUCAGUUGGGCACUCUAAGGUGACUGCCGGUGACAAACCGGAGGAAGGUGGGGAUGACGUCAAAUCAUCAUGCCCCUUAUGACCUGGGCUACACACGUGCUACAAUGGACAGAACAAAGGGCUGCAAGACCGCAAGGUUUAGCCAAUCCCAUAAAUCUGUUCUCAGUUCGGAUCGCAGUCUGCAACUCGACUGCGUGAAGCUGGAAUCGCUAGUAAUCGCGGAUCAGCAUGCCGCGGUGAAUACGUUCCCGGGCCUUGUACACACCGCCCGUCACACCACGAGAGUUUGCAACACCCGAAGUCGG